AGUGAACGCUGGCGGCGUGCCUAAUACAUGCAAGUCGAACGGAGUGGCGCACGGGUGAGUAAUAUAUAGCUAACCUGCCCCUUGCUGGAGGACAACAGUGAGAAAUGAAUGCUAAUACUCCAUAGCAAGGGAUGGGACUAUAUCGUAUCAGCUAGUCGGUGGGGUAACGGCCUACCGAGGCUAUGACGCGUAACUGGGCUACGAGGAUGAUCAGUCAAAUUGGAACGGAGACACGGUCCAAACUCCUACGGGAGGCAGCAGUAGGGAAUAGUGCCCAAUGGGGGAGACCCUGACGCAGCAUCGCCGCGUGGAGGAUUACACUUUUCGUAGCGUAAACUCCUUUUUUUAGGGUAGCGGUACCUAACGAAUAAGCACCGGCUAACUCCGUGCCAGCCGCCGCGGUAAUUC
Molecule: ribosomal RNA, 408 nt
Filed under: uncultured bacterium
Lineage: Bacteria
Description: partial 16S ribosomal RNA
Rfam family: Bacterial small subunit ribosomal RNA
Source: RNAcentral